This 520-nucleotide ribosomal RNA is filed under the name uncultured Glomus. Its description in RNAcentral is "SSU rRNA". It matches the Rfam family "Eukaryotic small subunit ribosomal RNA", at positions 569 to 1092 of the family's 1831-position model. Lineage: Eukaryota; Fungi; Glomeromycota; Glomeromycetes; Glomerales; Glomeraceae. The record is from RNAcentral.
AGCAGCCGCGGUAAUUCCAGCUCCAAUAGCGUAUAUUAAAGUUGUUGCAGUUAAAAAGCUCGUAGUUGAAUUUCGGGAUCAGUACGCCGGUCGUGCCUUCGGUAUGUACUGGUGUCACUGAUUCCUCCCUUCUGAAGAACCGUUAUGCCAUUAAUUUGGUGUGACGGGGAAUCAGGACUGUUACUUUGAAAAAAUUAGAGUGUUUAAAGCAGGCUCGCGCUUGAAUACAUUAGCAUGGAAUAAUGAAAUAGGACGUUUGAUCUUAUUUUGUUGGUUUCUAGGAUCGACGUAAUGAUUAAUAGGGAUAGUUGGGGGCAUUAGUAUUCAAUUGUCAGAGGUGAAAUUCUUGGAUUUAUUGAAGACUAACUACUGCGAAAGCAUUUGCCAAGGAUGUUUUCAUUAAUCAAGGACGAAAGUUAGGGGAUCGAAGACGAUCAGAUACCGUCGUAGUCUUAACCAUAAACUAUGCCGACUAGGGAUCGGAUGAUGUUAUUUUUAAUGACUCAUUCGGCGCCUUAAC